Molecule: ribosomal RNA, 449 nt
Filed under: uncultured bacterium
Lineage: Bacteria
Description: partial 16S ribosomal RNA
Rfam family: Bacterial small subunit ribosomal RNA
Source: RNAcentral
GUGGGGAAUCUUCCGCAAUGGACGAAAGUCUGACGGAGCGACGCCGCGUGAGUGAUGAAGGCCUUCGGGUCGUAAGGCUCUGUCAUCGGGGACGAACGGCCUCAGCAGGUAAUGGCUGGGGAUUGACGGUACCCGAGAAGGAAGCCACGGCUAACUACGUGCCAGCAGCCGCGGUAAUACGUAGGUGGCAAGCGUUGUCCGGAAUUAUUGGGCGUAAAGCGCGCGCAGGUGGGAUCUUAAGUCCAUUUUGAAAGUUCGGAGCUCAACUCCGUGAUGGGAUGGAAACUGGGAUUCUUGAGUACUGGAGAGGAAAGCGGAAUUCCCCGUGUAGCGGUGAAAUGCGUAGAUAUGGGGAGGAACACCAGUGGCGAAGGCGGCUUUCUGGACGGUGUCUGACACUGAGGCGCGAAAGCCAGGGGAGCGAACGGGAUUAGAAACCCCAGUAGUCC